RNA transcript from Strigops habroptila (Kakapo), 3049 nucleotides. It is a transcript of the gene named tetratricopeptide repeat domain 27, with no coding region annotated. The transcript is spliced from 21 exons. The record is from RefSeq and is a predicted model, not a curated record. Lineage: Eukaryota; Metazoa; Chordata; Aves; Psittaciformes; Psittacidae.
CGGCGUGCACGGCGGCGGAGUCAUGGCGGCUCGCUGAGGCUGGUUCUCACACAUGGGCUGAGGGGGCGCCGGCAGCGCCUGUCAGUCAGCGCGGGGGUCGCGAGCCGGCAGCGGUGGGGAGCGGGGCGGGGGCGGCGGGACCAUGCUCGCGCUGGAGCGCUCCCUGCUGAGGGGCUUCGUCAGCGCGGCGGAGUCCCUGGAGUGGAAGCAGGGCGAAGUCGCGGCGGCAGAAAGUGGAUCAUUAUUACAAUUGAUUUUGGAUGGGAAAUACGAGGCAAUAUUUUCAAAUUCAGCUAUCCAGAAUGUUUUCAGUGCAUCAUCUGUGACAGAGGAGAACAUCGACAGUUACUUGGAGAAACAGAUUCUAGCAUACCUGGACUGCUCUGCAGAGGUCGAUAACGUGGAAAGGCAGAGGCUGAUAUUUCUACUUGGUGUGGGCAGUUUGCAGCUCUUUGUUCAAAGCAAUUGGACCGGGCCUCCUGUUCAGUUAAAGCUUCAUGACUGUUUGCCACCUGCAUUGUUACAGAAAUUCUGUGAGCCAAAAAUGCUGCAUGCAGCUAUUCUGAAGAUGCUGGUUCUAGAUGGUGAAUCAGUCUAUACCUUGACUUCUCAUCCUAUUCUGCUGCUUAUAGCCAGGAUAAUCCUGGUGAAUUUGAGACACAAGCUUGCAUCUCUUCAGACAGUAUAUUGGUGGACUCUAAGGUAUGUGAAUAUUCACCAGCAGUUGUUAGAGGAGAGAUCACCUGAGUUAUUUACUCUUGCCCAGACCUGUAUAAAACAAGUGACAGAAGCAGAAACUUUGUUCACAGGCGGUGAAAGCUGGCACUUAGCAGUUCAGUUCCAUCUUGAGUGCGCCUAUACGUUUUUGUAUUACUAUGAGUAUAAAAAAGCUAAACAGUGUUUCAAUAUGGCUAAAGACAUAACGAAACUGCAGAUUAAUCUCACAGGUGCUUUGGGGAAGAGAACACGAUUUCAAGAAAAAUAUGUUGCACAGCUUAUUUUGGAUGUCCAAAGAACAGAUGAAUUCCUCCUUCCUCACAGUGAACUAAGUCCAGCUCCAACACCUCUAGAAAACUUAACAAUGAAUUAUGAUUUAAAUGAUGAUACGUUGCUUAAUGAGAUAAAGUUAGCAGAUGCUGAUCAGUACCAAGUACCAGAUUUGUGUGCAGAAGAGCUUGCUGUAAUCCUUGGAAUAUGUAUAGACCUUCAAAAGAACAACCCAAUACACAAAUUAACUGAAGAGGAACUUCUGGCUUUUACUUCAUGCUUGCUCUCUCAGCCAAAGUUCUGGGCCAUUCAGACGUCAGCCUUACUUCUUCGGACCAAGCUUGAAAAAGGAAGUACUCGCAGGAUGGAACGGGCAAUGAAGCAGACUCAGGCACUUGCAGAUCAGUUUGAAGAUGUAAAUACGUCAGUAUCUGAACGCAUGAAGAUUUUCUACUGCUGUCAGGUGCCUCCACAUUGGGCCAUACAGCGUCAGCUUGCAAGCUUACUCUUUGAGCUGGGAUGCAUCAGCUCUGCCUUACAGAUAUUUGAGGAGCUGGAAAUGUGGAAAGAUGCAGUAAUCUGCUAUGAAAGAGCAGGACAGCAUGGAAAGGCGGAAGAAAUACUCAGGCGGGAGUUAGAGAAAAAGGAAACACCAGGAUUAUAUUGUUUGCUUGGUGAUGUACUUAAAGACCAUCAGUAUUAUGACAAGGCCUGGGAGCUCUCGAGGCACCGCAGUGCCCGCGCCCAGCGCUCCAAAGGCCUCCUCCACCUCCGCAACCGGGAAUUCAGAGAAUGUGUGGAGUGCUUUGAACGUUCAGUGCAGAUCAACCCUAUGCAGCUAGGUGUAUGGUUUUCCUUGGGCUGCGCAUACAUUGCUUUAGAAGGCUAUGAAGGUGCUGCCAAAGCAUUUCAGCGCUGUGUGACAUUGGAACCAGAUAAUGCUGAGGCCUGGAACAAUUUGUCGACUGCUUAUAUCAGAUUAAAACAGAAAAUCAAAGCAUUUCGAACCCUUCAAGAAGCUCUCAAGUGCAACUAUGAACACUGGCAAAUAUGGGAGAACUAUCUUCUCACCAGUACAGAUGUUGGAGAGUUCUCAGAAGCAAUUAAAGCUUACCAUCGGCUCAUGGACUUAAGAGAAAAGUACAAGGAUACACAGGUGCUGGGUAUUCUGGUCAGAGCAGUAGUGAAUGGUAUGGCAGAUCGCACUGGAGAAGUAGCCAGUGGAUUAAAGGGGAAAUUGCAAGAGCUCUUCGGCAGAGUGACUUCACGAGUGACAAAUGAUGGGGAGAUCUGGAGGCUUUAUGCCCAGCUUUAUGGAAAUGGGCAGAAUGAUAGUGGUGAAGAUAUUGAAAAGUCACUGCAGUGUCUCACUAAGGCACAUAAAUGUGAAAUUCAAUCAAGUGAUUGGGAGAAAGAUGUAUCUUCUUUUAAAGAAGUGGUGAAAGGAGCCAUAGAGAUUGCACAGGUGGCUAUAAAAUGCAGCAAGAACAAAUCUAAUCAUCAAGAGGCUUUGCAGAUACUUUCUUCAGCUCGGCUCAACUUACGUGGCUUGUCAUCCAAAGCGAAGGUUUUGGAGAAAAUGAUGCAACAGAACAUGACACUGGGAAAAAUGGCCAUUAAACCUCACAACUACUAAUUUAUCAGCAGGUGGGUUUGUAAAUUGCAGUGACAGUAUGUGAGAUGCUCUUCUAAUUUGAGUUUCAUAGUAAACUCCUUUACUUUCAAUGGCAUCAGGAGUCAGCCCAGGCAGUCAGGCCAGAGCAGAAACCCAGCAUCCACAGGAGGAGGAUUCGGCCCCUUUGGCAAAAUUCCAGCAACUUUUUGUAGAUGUAACAAGUAAUGAAGUUCACAGUGAGAUAGCUGAUGAGGUGACAACUAUGGACAACGUGAUUGCUGAACUUCAGGAACUGAGCAACCAGCUGAGAGACCAGUGCUGACAUAUGGGCCAGAUUUUGUGACAGGAAGAUGAUAAUGACACAUUUCUUUUGCCACAGCUUUUGCUGAUGAAAUGGUAACAAUUCUUAUGCAACAAUACUCUCAAUAAACAUUUUUCUGUACACUG